RNAcentral lists this transfer RNA (71 nucleotides) under Liolaemus atacamensis. Its description in RNAcentral is "tRNA-Tyr". The record is from RNAcentral. Lineage: Eukaryota; Metazoa; Chordata; Lepidosauria; Squamata.
UGGUAAAAAGAGGAAUUAAACCCCUAUAAGUGGGGCUACGGCCCACCACCUUAACAUUCGGCCAUUUUACC